GAUGAACGCUGGCGGCGUGCCUAAUACAUGCAAGUCGAGCGAACGGACGAGAAGCUUGCUUCUCUGAUGUUAGCGGCGGACGGGUGAGUAACACGUGGAUAACCUACCUAUAAGACUGGGAUAACUUCGGGAAACCGGAGCUAAUACCGGAUAAUAUUUUGAACCGCAUGGUUCAAAAGUGAAAGACGGUCUUGCUGUCACUUAUAGAUGGAUCCGCGCUGCAUUAGCUAGUUGGUAAGGUAACGGCUUACCAAGGCAACGAUGGGUAGCCCGCCUGGGAGGGGGAACGGCGUCCUUGGGCCUGCGAGACGGCCCAGAAGCCUACGGGAGGCAGCAGUGGGGAAUCUUGCACAAUGGGCGGAAGCCUGAGACAGAAACGCCGCGUGCGGGAUGACGGCUUUCGGGUUGUAAACCGCUUUCGCCUGUGACGAAGCGUGAGUGACGGUAACGGGUAAAGAAGCACCGGCUAACUACGUG
This 477-nucleotide ribosomal RNA is filed under the name uncultured bacterium. RNAcentral's name for it is "partial 16S ribosomal RNA". It matches the Rfam family "Bacterial small subunit ribosomal RNA", at positions 28 to 507 of the family's 1533-position model. The record is from RNAcentral.